RNAcentral lists this ribosomal RNA (422 nucleotides) under uncultured Sphingobacterium sp. RNAcentral's name for it is "bacterial SSU rRNA". It matches the Rfam family "Bacterial small subunit ribosomal RNA", at positions 355 to 774 of the family's 1533-position model. The record is from RNAcentral. Lineage: Bacteria; Pseudomonadati; Bacteroidota; Sphingobacteriia; Sphingobacteriales; Sphingobacteriaceae.
UAAGGAAUAUUGGUCAAUGGGCGGAAGCCUGAACCAGCCAUGCCGCGUGCAGGAUGACUGCCCUAUGGGUUGUAAACUGCUUUUGUCCAGGAAUAAACCUAAAUACGUGUAUUUAGCUGAAUGUACUGGAAGAAUAAGGAUCGGCUAACUCCGUGCCAGCAGCCGCGGUAAUACGGAGGAUCCGAGCGUUAUCCGGAUUUAUUGGGUUUAAAGGGUGCGUAGGCGGCCUAUUAAGUCAGGGGUGAAAUACGGUGGCUCAACCAUCGCAGUGCCUUUGAUACUGAUGGGCUUGAAUCCAUUUGAAGUGGGCGGAAUAAGACAAGUAGCGGUGAAAUGCAUAGAUAUGUCUUAGAACUCCGAUUGCGAAGGCAGCUCACUAAGCUGGUAUUGACGCUGAUGCACGAAAGCGUGGGGAUCGAACA